UUCUUAUCAAGAGAGGUGGAGGGACUGGCCCUUUGAAGCCCGGCAACCAAUAAAAUUAUUCAUUUAUUAUUUUAUAUGGUGCUAAUUCCUGUAGUCAUUUUAUACUAGAGAUAAGAG
This 117-nucleotide non-coding RNA is filed under the name Clostridium neonatale. Its description in RNAcentral is "SAM". It matches the Rfam family "SAM riboswitch aptamer (S box leader)". Rfam says of the family: The SAM riboswitch is found upstream of a number of genes which code for proteins involved in methionine or cysteine biosynthesis in Gram-positive bacteria. The SAM riboswitch acts at the level of transcription termination control. Lineage: Bacteria; Bacillati; Bacillota; Clostridia; Eubacteriales; Clostridiaceae. The record is from RNAcentral.